ACCUGGGUCUAACAUUGGGUGCCCACCUGGGUGGUAUUUCCUGUAGUCCUUGAAAGUGGCUAAGGGAGAUAUCUGAUUCCAGAGAAAGCCUUUCCUGAGGCUGUUCUCCAAAUACCUGGAAUGUGUAUGUCCAGAGAGUGAUCAGUCCACACUGUUAACCCU
Molecule: non-coding RNA, 162 nt
Organism: Peromyscus maniculatus bairdii (prairie deer mouse)
Lineage: Eukaryota; Metazoa; Chordata; Mammalia; Rodentia; Cricetidae
Source: RefSeq, a predicted model, not a curated record